UAAUGCAGUCGAACGAACUCUGGUAUUGAUUGGUGCUUGCAUCAUGAUUUACAUUUGAGUGAGUGGCGAACUGGUGAGUAACACGUGGGAAACCUGCCCAGAAGCGGGGGAUAACACCUGGAAACAGAUGCUAAUACCGCAUAACAACUUGGACCGCAUGGUCCGAGUUUGAAAGAUGGCUUCGGCUAUCACUUUUGGAUGGUCCCGCGGCGUAUUAGCUAGAUGGUGGGGUAACGGCUCACCAUGGCAAUGAUACGUAGCCGACCUGAGAGGGUAAUCGGCCACAUUGGGACUGAGACACGGCCCAAACUCCUACGGGAGGCAGCAGUAGGGAAUCUUCCACAAUGGACGAAAGUCUGAUGGAGCAACGCCGCGUGAGUGAAGAAGGGUUUCGGCUCGUAAAACUCUGUUGUUAAAGAAGAACAUAUCUGAGAGUAACUGUUCAGGUAUUGACGGUAUUUAACCAGAAAGCCACGGCUAACUACGUGCCAGCAGCCGCGGUAAUACGUAGGUGGCAAGCGUUGUCCGGAUUUAUUGGGCGUAAAGCGAGCGCAGGCGGUUUUUUAAGUCUGAUGUGAAAGCCUUCGGCUCAACCGAAGAAGUGCAUCGGAAACUGGGAAACUUGAGUGCAGAAGAGGACAGUGGAACUCCAUGUGUAGCGGUGAAAUGCGUAGAUAUAUGGAAGAACACCAGUGGCGAAGGCGGCUGUCUGGUCUGUAACUGACGCUGAGGCUCGAAAGUAUGGGUAGCAAACAGGAUUAGAUACCCUGGUAGUCCAUACCGUAAACGAUGAAUGCUAAGUGUUGGAGGGUUUCCGCCCUUCAGUGCUGCAGC
Molecule: ribosomal RNA, 834 nt
Filed under: Lactiplantibacillus plantarum
Lineage: Bacteria; Bacillati; Bacillota; Bacilli; Lactobacillales; Lactobacillaceae
Description: bacterial SSU rRNA
Rfam family: Bacterial small subunit ribosomal RNA
Source: RNAcentral